RNAcentral lists this ribosomal RNA (450 nucleotides) under uncultured bacterium. RNAcentral's name for it is "SSU rRNA". It matches the Rfam family "Bacterial small subunit ribosomal RNA", at positions 26 to 518 of the family's 1533-position model. The record is from RNAcentral.
AGAGCGAACGCUGGCGGCAGGCCUAACACAUGCAAGUCGAGCGCGUGUAGCAAUACACGAGCGGCAGACGGGAGAGUAACACGUGGGAACGCGCCCUUCGGUUCGGAAUAACUCAGGGAAACUUGAGCUAAUACCGGAUACGCCCUUACGGGGAAAGAUUUAUUGCCGAAGGAACGGCCCGCGUCCGAUUAGCUAGUUGGUGAGGUAACGGCUCACCAAGGCGACGAUCGGUAGCUGGUCUGAGAGGAUGACCAGCCUCACUGGGACUGAGACACGGCCCAGACUCCUACGGGAGGCAGCAGUGGGGAAUAUUGGACAAUGGGCGCAAGCCUGAUCCAGCCAUGCCGCGUGGAUGAUGAAGGCCUUAGGGUUGUAAAGUCCGUUUUAACGGGGAAGUAUAAUGACGGUACCCGUAGAAUAAGCCCCGGCUAACUUCGUGCCAGCAGCCGC